ACUAUUUUGGCAGAAAAGUGUCAUGAAUUUAGAAUUCAUUAAUGUAAGGAUUAUUUUUACAGGUAGUA
This 68-nucleotide transfer RNA is filed under the name Mecistogaster modesta. Its description in RNAcentral is "tRNA-Leu". The record is from RNAcentral. Lineage: Eukaryota; Metazoa; Arthropoda; Insecta; Odonata; Coenagrionidae.